GAAGUUUCAAUGUGCUGGUUUCGGUGCGGCAACUCUGCCUUGCCGCCUCGAGUUUAUAUUUUUAAUUUAGUAAAUUGGUCCCCCGAGAGUUAUGCUUCAGGGGAGAUAUCGAUUUUUGGUGCUGCAAGAUUCACCGAAACCCUUCCUUUUCUGAGGCAUGUGAAAAAACGGAGAACAUAUAAGCCUGACAAUUCUCUAGGGUGCUAUUUGAUUUCCCUAAAUUGGGACCAUGCGGAACCUGCUCACCAUGUGCUCUAGCCCCGGCUGGCGAGACAGGUUGUGGAAAGCCUUUUUAAGAAUUCUAUUACUGGGCGUGAGGGAGUGUUCUAAAGGUGAUGAGGAGGCGGUAGACGGGUCAGGUCAGGGCAGUAAGUCAUCAAAGGGUAAAAGGAACAAGUCGGCACACAAACCCAGACGUAGGAAACGCGGCGGUAAGCCACAGGAUCCCAACCUAAACAAAUUUAAGACAGAAUAAUCCCAUGAUAAAGGGAAAUCACAUUCAGAAAAAGUACCAGUGACAAAUAUGCAAAUGUGGACAUGCUUAUAUUCUCCUGGCCAAAACCAGGAGCUACUACACUACCUCCUGUUAUCUGGUGGCAGUCAGUAUGGACUCUACAGGAGAGUUCUGUUGGAUCUGCCACCAGCCAGAGGGUCCCCUUAAAAGAUUCUGUGGCUGCAAGGGGUCCUGUGCCGUGUCUCAUCAAGACUGUCUACGUGGUUGGCUGGAGACGUCGCGUCGCCAGACGUGUGCGCUGUGUGGGACUCCAUAUUCCAUGAAAUGGAAAACUAAACCUUUGCGUGAGUGGACAUGGGGGGAAGAGGAGGUCCUGGCAGCGAUGGAGGCCUGUCUACCCCUUGUCCUGAUACCCUUGGCUGUGCUGAUGAUAGUGAUGGGGACGUGGUUGCUGGUAAAUCACAAUGGCUUCCUCAGUCCAAGAAUGCAAGUUGUCCUCGUGGUCAUCGUCCUCCUGGCCAUGAUUGUGUUCUCAGCCAGCGCCUCUUACGUGAUGGUGGAAGGGCCCGGGUGCCUAGAUACCUGUACUGCCAAAAACUCUACCGUGACUGUGAACUCCAUUGAUGAGGCGAUCGCGACCCAGCAGCCCACAAAGACUGACCUUGGAUUAGCCCGUGAGACCCUCUCCACCCGCUUCAGACGUGGCAAAUGCAGAUCCUGUUGUAGACUGGGGUGUGUGAGACUAUGUUGUGUGUAGGAGGUGUGGAAAUAAAAACCCUUUAAAAUUUCAU
This 1245-nucleotide non-coding RNA is filed under the name synthetic construct. The record is from RNAcentral.